GACGAACGCUGGCGGCGCGCUUAACACAUGCAAGUCGAACGGAAAGGCCUGCUUUCCCUUGUGGAUUGCGGGUACUCGAGUGGCGAACGGGUGAGUAACACGUGAGUGAUCUGCCCCCAACUUGGGUAUAAGCCUGGGAAACUGGGUCUAAUUCCCGAUAGGACUGCAGGGUGGUGCCUGUGGUGGAAAACGAUUUUCUAGUGGUUGGGGAUGAGCUCGCGGCCUAUCAGCUUGUUGGUGGGGUAAUGGCCUACCAAGGCGGCGACGGGUAGCCGGCCUGGGAGGGGGGCCGGCAAAAUGGGACCGGGGAAACGGCCCAGACCCCACGGGGAGGCGGCGGUGGGGAAUAUGGACCAAUGGGGGGAGGCUGGAUGCAGGGCGGCCGGGUGGGGAUGGCCGGCCUCGGGGUUGAAACUCCUUUCGACCGCGAGGAAGCCACCUGGUUGGAAGGGUGGUGACGGUAGUGGUAGAAGAAGCACCGGCUAACUACGUG
This 493-nucleotide ribosomal RNA is filed under the name uncultured bacterium. RNAcentral's name for it is "partial 16S ribosomal RNA". It matches the Rfam family "Bacterial small subunit ribosomal RNA", at positions 28 to 507 of the family's 1533-position model. The record is from RNAcentral.